GUAGCAAUACAUGCUGACGAGCGGCGAACGGGUGAGUAAUGCUUUGGAAUCUUCCCAGUAGUGGGGAAUAACCAGUCGAAAGAUUGGCUAAUACCGCAUACGUCUGUAAAGGGAAAGCGGGGGCUCGUAAGACCUCGCGCUAUUGGAUGAGCCAAAGUCGGAUUAGCUAGUUGGUGGGGUAAUGGCCUACCAAGGCGACAAUCCGUAGCUGGUCUGAGAGGACGACCAGCCACACCGGAACUGAGACACGGUCCGGACUCCUACGGGAGGCAGCAGUGGGGAAUAUUGGACAAUGGGGGAAACCCUGAUCCUGCGACGCCGCGUGUGUGAAGAAGGCCUGCGGGUUGUAAAGCACUUUUAGUGGGGACAAAAAGCUACGGAUUAAUACUCUGUGGUCUUGA
Molecule: ribosomal RNA, 401 nt
Filed under: uncultured bacterium
Lineage: Bacteria
Description: bacterial SSU rRNA
Rfam family: Bacterial small subunit ribosomal RNA
Source: RNAcentral